AAAAAUCAAGCAGGUGGGAUAAAUUAGACAGCUCUGAACAGCAAAUAGACGAGGUUGGACCGCACCACAAAUGAUGAAAAAUAAGUCGAUGGAAGAACUUGAAAUAAAGGUCGAUGGAAAACUGCAGAAGAACACGAGUGAGGAGUUCGGACUACAGCAGGUCGGCCAAACACCAAAAUUAUCAAUUUUUCAAGAUUGAAUUUGGUGGGAUCAGAGUAAAGUAACGCGCCCAUACAAUCCAUGCAAAAGUGGUCGGCGUGGCUCUUGCUCACUGGGAGGUAAGUACCCAAAUACUUUAUAAAUAUUACAGCAAUGCCAUUAUAAAUGAUUUAUUAAAAUUAGCUUAUGCACGAUCCACAACUACUGCAAGCAAUUAAUUAUUUAUCAUCAUCACCACCAGACAAACCUCAAAAUCAAGAGCCCUUUACACUACCUUCAUUUAUUGUUUUACAGNNN
This 456-nucleotide long non-coding RNA is filed under the name Manihot esculenta (cassava). RNAcentral describes it as "long non-coding RNA (MESC_LNC006812)". Lineage: Eukaryota; Viridiplantae; Streptophyta; Magnoliopsida; Malpighiales; Euphorbiaceae. The record is from RNAcentral.